This 25-nucleotide unclassified non-coding RNA is filed under the name Mus musculus (house mouse). RNAcentral describes it as "oocyte_clustered_small_RNA13404". The record is from RNAcentral. Lineage: Eukaryota; Metazoa; Chordata; Mammalia; Rodentia; Muridae.
UGCAGACCCCUCUGCACCCCCGCUG